Molecule: unclassified non-coding RNA, 329 nt
Filed under: soil metagenome
Description: partial contains 5.8S ribosomal RNA, internal transcribed spacer 2, and large subunit ribosomal RNA
Rfam family: 5.8S ribosomal RNA (bases 1-120)
Source: RNAcentral
GAUGAAGAACGCAGCGAAAUGCGAAAAGUAAUGUGAAUUGCAGAAUUCAGUGAAUCAUCGAAUCUUUGAACGCACAUUGCGCCCCUUGGUAUUCCGAGGGGCAUGCCUGUUCGAGCGUCAUUAUAACCCCUCAAGCUCAGCUUGGUGUUGGGGCCUGCUGCACUGGCAGCCCUUAAAAUCAGUGGCGGCGCCAUCUGGCUCUAAGCGUAGUAAUUCUUCUCGCUAUGGAGUCCUGGUGGAUGCUUGCCAUCAACCCCCAAUUUUUCUAUGGUUGACCUCGGAUCAGGUAGGGAUACCCGCUGAACUUAAGCAUAUCAAUAAGCGGAGGA